This 253-nucleotide ribosomal RNA is filed under the name uncultured bacterium. RNAcentral's name for it is "partial 16S ribosomal RNA". It matches the Rfam family "Bacterial small subunit ribosomal RNA", at positions 524 to 776 of the family's 1533-position model. The record is from RNAcentral.
UACAGAGGGGGCAAGCGUUGUUCGGAAUUACUGGGCGUAAAGGGCGCGUAGGCGGCCUGUUAAGUCGAACGUGAAAUCCCCGGGCUCAACCCGGGAACUGCGUCCGAUACUGGCAGGCUUGAAUCCGGGAGAGGGAUGUGGAAUUCCAGGUGUAGCGGUGAAAUGCGUAGAGAUGUGGAGGAACACCAGUGGCGAAGGCGGCUUUCUGGUCUGUAACUGACGCUGAGGCGCGAAAGCGUGGGGAGCAAACAGG